Hemicordylus capensis (graceful crag lizard) is the source of this 1040-nucleotide long non-coding RNA. RefSeq lists it as uncharacterized. The record is from RefSeq and is a predicted model, not a curated record. NCBI's taxonomy places the organism in Eukaryota, Metazoa, Chordata, Lepidosauria, Squamata, Cordylidae. The transcript is spliced from 5 exons.
CCCAAAUAUCCAUGGCCAGGUGGCAAAGCACAGCCGAAUGCGUCUCACCCUGAAGAUUCAGCUCAGGCCUCAGAAGGAGAAAAAACCAAGGCAGAAGGUCCUCCAAUGUCACUGUCUCAGCGGUCAGAAGAAGAUUGAGGGAGUCCUAGACAGCCAGCUGCUGGGUGCUUUAUUCCAUAACAGGAGCAGAGGGCAGCAACAGAACAGUCAGCCAGUGAGGAAGAGCAAAUACAAGAGUCUGAUUUUCUGAUAUGCUGCAGUCACAUGUUCUUUAAAAGGUGCACAACUGGAGCAGGAACAGGAACAGUUGGAUCCCAGGCUGCAGGAGGUCUAAGAACAGAUAAGCAAAAGGAAGAGGGAAGAAAAAGAAGUCAUACUAUAGCUUCCAUGUGCUCAUAAUACACGUAUUGUGUUAGAAUGUUAUCAGAAAGGAUUAUCCCAUUAGAUCUCCAAAGAGAUUCUUGGGAGAAGGAAUCUUUCAGAAAUACCACUUAAACACACUGACUGAAGAGUACUUUUGGAGGUUCAAAAGGCAAUGCCUAUUUUUCUGUCAUUUCUCUUACCAUACACCCAAUCACAUCUCUUUCUCUUAAAAUGGUGAAUCAGCAACAUCCACAAACUUGACUCAGUUUCCUAGGAUUAGAGGGUAUUUUUGAAGGUCAGUAUUAAAAUUCUGCCUGUGCCAUAGCACAACAAAUGCACAUACCUGUCCAGCAACACAUCCAUUUUCUGUUAGUCCUAACUCAAGACUGAAUAAGCAACACAGAGGGAAAAGAACAAACCCUUGUUUCAAAAAUAUAAAGGUGGCUGGUAGCCCUUUUGUUACUUGUAAGAAAAACAUAUCUGUGAUGAGGUAGUGAGGCAAUACAUACUUUCAGUUGGGAAACUCAUUACUUCAAGACAAGUCUUCAGUAGCACUUACUGAUUGAACAAGAUGUUGUACUGAGGGCACAUGCCUAAAUUCUGCCGAAUGGAGUCCAUGUGUAUCUGGAUGUCCUUACCACCAACCAGUAUUGUUCCAGAUGUAGGUGGGAACAAAC